GAACUGAAGAGUUUGAUCAUGGCUCAGAUUGAACGCUGGCGGCAGGCCUAACACAUGCAAGUCGAGCGGAUGAGGGGAGCUUGCUCUCUGAUUCAGCGGCGGACGGGUGAGUAAUGCCUAGGAAUCUGCCUGGUAGUGGGGGACAACGUCUCGAAAGGGACGCUAAUACCGCAUACGUCCUACGGGAGAAAGCAGGGGACCUUCGGGCCUUGCGCUAUCAGAUGAGCCUAGGUCGGAUUAGCUAGUUGGUGAGGUAAUGGCUCACCAAGGCUGCGAUCCGUAACUGGUCUGAGAGGAUGAUCAGUCACACUGGAACUGAGACACGGUCCAGACUCCUACGGGAGGC
Molecule: ribosomal RNA, 346 nt
Filed under: Pseudomonas sp. TTU2014-096BSC
Lineage: Bacteria; Pseudomonadati; Pseudomonadota; Gammaproteobacteria; Pseudomonadales; Pseudomonadaceae
Description: bacterial SSU rRNA
Rfam family: Bacterial small subunit ribosomal RNA
Source: RNAcentral